RNAcentral lists this transfer RNA (69 nucleotides) under Rattus norvegicus (Norway rat). It matches the Rfam family "tRNA". From Rfam's summary of the family: Transfer RNA (tRNA) molecules are approximately 80 nucleotides in length. Their secondary structure includes four short double-helical elements and three loops (D, anti-codon, and T loops). Lineage: Eukaryota; Metazoa; Chordata; Mammalia; Rodentia; Muridae. The record is from Rfam by way of RNAcentral.
GGGGAUUUAGCUCAAUGGUAGAGCACUUGCCUAGGAAGCGCAAGGCCCUGGGUUCGAUCCCCAGCUCCA